UACGGGGGGUGCAAGCGUUAAUCGGAAUUACUGGGCGUAAAGCGUGUGCAGGCGGCCUCACAAGUGGUGUAUGAAAUAUCCAGGCUCAACCUGGAGGGGUUAUGCCAGACUGUGAGGCUAGAGUGCGAGAGAGGGGCGUGGAAUUCCGGGUGUAGUGGUGAAAUGCGUAGAGAUCCGGAGGAACCCCAGAGGCGAAGGCGGCGCCCUGGCUCGCAACUGACGCUCAGACACGACAGCAUGGGGAGCGAACGGG
RNAcentral lists this ribosomal RNA (253 nucleotides) under uncultured bacterium. RNAcentral's name for it is "partial 16S ribosomal RNA". It matches the Rfam family "Bacterial small subunit ribosomal RNA", at positions 524 to 776 of the family's 1533-position model. The record is from RNAcentral.